GCUACAAGGCCGUAGAGUUGCCAGCUGAAGGUAUUUGCUGGCAACGCUUCAAAGCCGUGUUAGAUUAAAAAAUUACACCCAAUUUACUACCAAUUUAGCGAUUGUUUCCGAAUGGGAUGUGCAAAGUAAAUGUUCGUUAUGAUUUUGUAGAUUAAAUUAUAACCGCUGAUAGUUGCAUACAAAC
Drosophila hydei is the source of this 184-nucleotide non-coding RNA. Lineage: Eukaryota; Metazoa; Arthropoda; Insecta; Diptera; Drosophilidae. The record is from RefSeq and is a predicted model, not a curated record.